Molecule: long non-coding RNA, 33260 nt
Filed under: Homo sapiens (human)
Lineage: Eukaryota; Metazoa; Chordata; Mammalia; Primates; Hominidae
Description: non-protein coding LINC00621:4
Source: RNAcentral
ACAGUCGCCAGAUCCAGUUCCAAGUGCCGAACCGAACGCGGAGCCAGGAGGUGAGCUUGCGGUGCAGACAGAGCAGGGGGGCAGCACCCGCCACACCAGCUCUUACAGCCCCGUCAUACUCUUGUGGCCCUCGGGUACCCCCUCUCCCUCCCGCCCACUCCCGUGGCGCUACGGCUUUUUAUCCGCCCCUGCGCCGGCGCGGGCAUCGCUCCGCGUCCCCCCGCCCCCUAAGCCCGAACCCCUUUCCACUGCCAACACCUCACCUCGCCCCCGCCGCCAUCUUCCUCCUCCCUUGGCAGCCCCGCCCUAAAAAUAAAUAAUUUUAAAAAGCAUUCAUUUUAUACUAUCUCUUGAACACUGUUCAGCAGGGUAGAUUCCAUUUUGAUGAUUAUUUUCAUCAGCACUUGGAAUAUACUGUUCCACUGUGUGUGGUCGUGAUUGCUGCAGUUGUGAAGUUUGCUCUCAAUCUAAUCAGAGUCCCUUUACAGUUAUGCCUUUUUAAAAGUGCUUUUAGUGUUUUUUUCUUUGAUAAUUUACAAUUUAAUUUUAAUGUUUCUUUUUUUAACAGUGUUAUUGAGGGAUGAUUGACAUACACUAAACCGCGCAUAUUGAAAGUGCAAAAUUUGAUGUGUGUUUAUGCUUGUGAAACCAUCACUACAGUUAAGAUAAUAAACAGAUCGGCCAGGCUCAGUGGCUCACGCCUGUAAUCCCAGCACUUUGGGAGGUGAAGGCGGGUGGAUCAUGAGGUCAGGAGUUGGAGACCAGCCUGGCCAACAUGGUGAAACCCCGCCUUUACUAAAAAUACAAAAAUUAGCCAGGCGUGGUGGCACACGCCUGUAAUCCCAGCUACUCGGGAGGCUGAGGCAGGAGAAUCGCUUGAACCCGGGAGGCAAAGGUUGCAGUGAGCCGAGAUUGCGCCACUGCACUCUAGCCUACGUGACAGAGCAAGACUCCGUCUCGGGGAAAAAAAAAAAAAAAGAUAAUAAACAUAUUCAUCACCCUAGUCUCUCCUUGUGCCCUUUGUAAUCCUUCCCUCCACUUCUCCACCCUCAGCCUGUCCCCAGGCAACCACUGACAUACUUUCAGUUAUCAUAGGUUAGUUUGCAUUUUCUAUAAUUUUAUAUACCUGGAAGCAUAGUGUAUGUCCUCAUACUUUUGUGAGCUCUGGCUUCUUUGCUUCAGCGAAGUUAUUUUAAGAUUCAUCCAUGUUUUUGGCAGUAUCAACAACCCAUUUCUUUCUAUGGCUGAAGAGUCUUCAAUUUUAUCAGUAAACGCAAUUUGUUAAUGCAUUCAGGAGUUGAUGAACAUUUGGAUUGGUUCCAGCUUUUGGUUAUUACAAAUAAAGCUGUUAUAAACAUUUGCAUACAAACCUUUAUAUAGACAUAUGCUUUUCUCUCUCUAGGAGUGGAAUGGCUGGAUCAUAUGGUAGGUGUAUUUAGCUAUUUAAUAAACUGCCAAACUGUUUUCCAAAGUGGUUGUGCCAUUUUUACCUUCCCAUGAGCAGUGUAGGAGGUUUCUAAUUUCUCUACAUCCUUGCCAUCACUUGGUAUAUCAGUCUGUUUAAUUUUACACCUUCUAGCAGGUGUGUAGUGGUAUCAACUUGUAGUUUCAAUUUGCAUCUCUUUAUUGAAUAAUGAUAUUAAGCAUCUUUUCCUGAUCUUGUUUGCCAUCAAUAUUUCUGUUGGUGAAGUGUCUGUUCAAAUCUUUCGUUCCUCUUUUUAUUGCAUGUUUGCAUUUUAUUAUUGAGGUUCAAGGGUUUUAUAUGUUCUGCAUAGAAGUCCUUUACAGAUACGUGAUUUAAAAAUACGUCCUCUUGAUCUAUGUCUUUUCAUUCUCUUAACAGUGUAUUUUGAAGAGUGGAAGUUUUUAAUUUUGAUGAAAUGCAUAUUAUCAAUUUGUUCUCUUAUGAAUUAUGCUUUUUAUGUUGUAUCCAAGGUCACAAAGAUUUCUGCUCUAUUUUCUUCUAAAAAUGUUAUAGUUUAAGGUCUAUGAAUUCCUUUGAAUUAAAGUUUGUAUAUGCUGUGAGGUACGAAUCAAAGUUCACUUUUUUGGGGAUUCAGCAUCAUUUGUUGAAAAGACAAUACUUUCUCCAUUGAAUUGUCUUUGUACUUUGUCAAGAAUCUAUUGGCCAUAUAUAUGUGAGUCUAUUUCUGGAAUCUCUAUUGUGUUUCAUUGAUCUAUUUGUCUAUAUGUAUGGCAAUACCAUACUGUUUUAAUAUAGCUUUAUAUUUAGCCUUGAAAUCAGAUAAGUAAGUCCUCCAACUUUAUUCUUCUUUUGCAAAGUUAUUUUCACUAUUCUAGGUCCUUCAUUUUUUCCAUAUAAAACUUAAAGUUCAAUUAUUGAUUUUCACUUUUAAAAGCCUUCUGGAAUUUUGAUUGAUAUUCAAUUGAUCUAUAACUCAACUUGGGAGAAUUGACAUCUUAACAACUUCAAGUCUUCCUGUCCAUGAACAUGGUACAUGUUCCAUUUAGUUAGGUCUUCUUUAAUUUCUCUCAGCAAUGUUUUGCAGUUUUCAAUGUACAAGUCUUCCACAUGUUUUAUUUGGUUUAUGGCUAACAAUUUUAUAUUUGUUAAUGGUAUUGGAAAUAACAUUUUUAAAAUUUCAAUUUCUGAUUGUUUUAUAUAAAAAUACCCUUGAUUUGUGUAUAUUAAUCUUGAACUCUGCCACCUUGCUAACUCACUUAUUAGUUCUAAUAGCUUUUAUUUCAUGGAUUCCAUGGACUGGUGUACACAAAUGAUAAGGAAAGUGUUACUCUUUCCAAUCUAGAUGAUUUAUUUCUUUUUCUUGCCUUAUUUCAUGAGUUAGAACCUCCAGUACAAUGUUUAAUAAAAGUGAUGAGAGUAGAUAUCUUUACCUUGUUCUCAAUUUUAGGAAGACAUAGAUUUUUGUGUAGAUGGCCUGCAUCCUAUGAGGACUCUUCAUUUUAUCCCUGGUUUUGUGAGGGCUUUUAAUCAUGACUCAAUGUUGGGUUUUACUAAGUGCUUUUUCUAUUAAGAUGAUCAUAUGCAUUUUUCUUUUUAGUCCACUAAUAUGGUAAAGUUCAUUUAUUGAUUUUUGAAUGUUAAAUCAACUUUAUCUUCCUGCAAUAAAGUACACUUUGUCAUGAUAUAGAUGAACUAGAUUUGCUAAAAUUUUAGUAAGAAUAUUUUCAUCAUUGUUCAUGAGGGUUAUUGGUCUCUGUUGUUGUUUCUUAUGAUGUCUGUUUGAUUUAGUAAGAAAGUAAUGCUAUCUUCAUCAAAUAAAGGAAAGACCUUUUCCUUUUCUAUUGUCUGGAAGGAUUUGCGUAGAAUUGUUAUUGUUUCCUUAAAUAUUGUUAGACUUCACCAUGAAAACCACCUGGGCCUUUAGUUUUCUUUGUCAUUAGGAUUUUAAUUAAAAACUUGAUUUUGUCAAUAGAUACUCUUGUUAUCUAUUUCUUCUUGAGUGAACUUUGAUAGUUUAUGCCCUCCAAGGAAUGUGUUCAUUUCAUCUAAGUUAUCAAAUUUAUUAGAAAAAAAUGGCUUACAGUAGUCCAUUGUUUCCUUAUAAUUACUGUAGAAGAUUUGGUGACACCCACCCUUUCAUUCCUGGUAUUGGUAAUUCGUGCCUUUUUACUUUUUUCUUGAUCAGCUGACUAGAAGUCUAACAAUUUAAUUGAUUGUUUAAAAUGAUUAGCAUUUACUUUCUUGGAUUUUUCUUAUAAUUUUCCCUUUUUUCUUUCAUUGAUUUCUGUUUUUUUUAUUAUUUUCUUUAUCUGCUUACAUUGUGUUUAAUUUGCUCUUCUCUUUCCAGUUUCUGAAGGUGAAAACUCAGGUCACUGAUUUGAGACCUUUCUUUUUUGUUAUAAUAUAGGAUCUUAGUGCUUAAAUUUGCCUCCAAGCAUACAUUAGCUGCAACUCCCUGAUUCUGAUAUAUCGUGUUUUCAUUUUCAGCUCAAUGAACUUUCCAAUUUCUCUUUUGAUUUCUUAUUUGAAUAAUAUACUUUGGCUCUAUGUCUCCACCCAAAUCUCACCUUGAAUUGCAAUCCCCAUAAUCUCCAGGUGUCAAGGGUGGGACUGGGUGGAGGUAAUUUAAUUAUGGGGGUGGUUCCCCCCAUGCAAUCUGAUGGUCUGAUUUUUUUUUUUUUUUUUUUUUUUUUUUUGCAACAUUGCCCUUUGAUGUCCCCAUGAGGGCCAGGCCCAGGCAGAACCCAUCCCAUUUUAUCCUUAAACUCAGAAGGAAAUUUGUCUAAAUAUUAAAGGAUUAAUAUGGGAAUAAAAAAUGAACCUUAAACCCUGCCACUGAUACACAAGCUGUCUCUCUUAGAGUUCAAUGAACACUUCAGGAGAGUAUUUCCAACAAUAUUUAGAUAUUGGAAUAUCUAAAUAUUGUUGAUUUAGAUAACCACCCUAGAUUUCUCACCACCCUAGAACAUUUAGUGGGGAGACAUUCUUUUCUCCUUUUUCUGAUAACUUGGUCAGAAGUGAUUGACUGUGCAAAUGGUAUUUCUCAGCUAAAAUCUCCCUUACGAACCCUUCCUCGAAAUCCCCAAGGUCUCCUCUCUUUCUUAAGUAGGUAACAGCUAAUUUGAAUAUUGAUUCAUCAGUAUCCCUGUGUCUACACCAAGUUCAAACUGAAGAUCUCCUUGAGGUGCUUGACUCCUUGUGGGCCUAAAAAUUGUGCUGAGAAUUUGGGGGGAGGGACAAUUUCAUUAAGUUCAGUUUAAUCCAUGCAAACUUAUAAAAACCAAGCUUGCACAAUGUUGUCUAACAACAGAAGCUAAAGAAAGUCUAAAACCAGAAGUCAAAAGCCUAAAAGCAAAAGGACUCAUCAUGCCUUGUACCAAUCCUUAUAAUACUCUUACCAUCCUAAUAAUAAAACCCCAUGUGAGGACGAGCGUGGUGGCUCACGCCUGUAAUCCCAGCACUUUGGGAGGCCGAGGCAGGUGGAUCACGAGGUCAUGAGAUCAAGACCAUCCUGGCUAACACGAUAAAACCCUGUCUCUACUAAAAAUGCAAAAAUUACCCAGGUGUGAUGGCGUGUGCCUGUAGUCCCAGCUACUCAGGAGGCUGAGGCAGGAGAAUUCCUUGAACCCAGGAGGCAGAGGUUGCAGUGAGCCGAGAUCGCGCCACUGCACUCCAGCCCAGGCGACCGAGUGAGACUCCAUCUCAAAAAAAAAAAAAAAAACAAUGCGAGAAUAUACAUUUGUUCAUGACCUCAGCCUCAUAGUUAUUCCUCAUACACUUGGAAAACCAAAUUUAUAUAUAAUCUUAUUUUUAGUCCUAUUUGAGGCUGUAUUUUUUUUUUUUUUGAGACAGAGUUGCUGAGGCUGGAGUGCAGUGGCACAAUCUCAGCUCACUGCAGCCUCCACCUCCUGGGUUCAAGCAAUUCUCCUGCCUCAGCCUCCCGAGUAGCUGGGAUUAUAGGCAUGUGCCACCACACCCAGCAAAUUUUUUGUAUUUUUAGUAGAGACAGGGUCUCAAACUCCUCACCUCAGAUGAUCCACCUGCCUCAGCCUCCCAAAGUGCUGGGAUGAGCCACCAUGCCUGGUCUGAAGCUGUAUAUUUUCUAGCUCUAAAUAUAUGUUCUGUGUUCCUAAGUGUCCCUAGACAUGAUUUAUAUUUUAAUUGAGAACCAACAUUGUACCUGGACUCCUAAGCCUCAGGGAUUUACUGAAAUACCAUUCUAUUUUAUAAUAAUCCUUAACCAAGAAUUUUAAGGAUCUUAAAUUUUUCUGUGGUUCUAUUGUUAUCUGAUAUAUAGAUGAUCUGCUGCCAUAUCCUAAAGAGCAGGUGAGGCCGGGUGUAGUGGCUCACGCCUGUAAUCCCAGCACUUUGGGAGGCAGACGAAGGUGGAUCACCUAAGGUCAGGAGUUUGAGACCAGCCUGGCCAACAUGGUGAAACCCCAUCUCUACUAAAAAUACAAAAAUUAGCUGGGUGUGGUGGUGGGCACCUGUAAUCCCAGCUACUAGGAAGGAUGAGGCAGGAGAAUCACUUGAACCCAGGAGGCGGAGGUUGCAGUGAGCUGAGAUUGCACCAUUGCACUCCAUCCUGGGCAACAAGAGCAAAACUUCAUCUCAAAAAAAAAAAAAAAAAAAAAAAGAACAGAUGAGUUCCAGGAAUGUUUUAAAAAGAUAGAAUUUUUAAAGGAAAGUAACAAAACCAAUGCACUUGGUUUUGUCAAAACCAAGUGCAUUACCAAAGAUAGAUUUUUCUAAAGAAGGCAAAUCCCUUUCUCCCAACAAACUAUAGCUCUUUUAAGACUUUCCUAGGCUAGUAAUUAGGAUACAUUUAAAAAGAUCCUGAGGCUUCCUAACUACUGCAAAAAGUGGGUCCCUACUGUUUCUGAAAUCAGCUCAGCCAAGCCUUCACUAAUUGACUCCUUUUGUUUGCAAACUAAACAUAAAGAGGUAUUUUGUAAUUUAAAAUCAGUCCUUCAAUAACCUGUCCAGGACCUCUCUCCCCUUGCCUACCUAAACAUGAUUCUCUAGCUUUUCACGUAUGAGUAGAAGUCCCUGGUGUGAUGUGUGAACUUCAUGGGAGGCAUCUGAGACUCACUGCUUUCGGGCAGCCUUUCUGUUGAUUCAGUAGCAAAAGGCUCAUACUUUAUCUAAGUCUAAUAGCAGAAUCAGCUGAGCUAGUGCAGGCUUCUGGCCACUUGGUUCUCGGGUUUAGUCUUCCCUAUACUUAGUGGUCUCUGCUAUGGUUUGAAUGUGUCCCCUCCAAAAUCAAGGUAUUGCCAAUGUGAUAGUAUUAAGAGGUGGUGCUUUUAUGAGAUGAUUAGGCCAUAAGACCUGCUUCUUUGUUAAUGGGACUAAGUCCCUUUUAAAAGAGGCAUUUCCUAGCAUUAGUUUCUUCUCUCUUGCCCUUCCACCUUCUUCCAUGUGAGGAUGCAGCAAGAAAGCUCUCAUCAUUUGUCAGCAUCUUGACCUUGGACUUCCCAGCCUCCAGAACUGUAAGAGAAUUAAUUUAUCUUCUUUAUAAAUUAUCCAGUCUCUGUUAUUAAAAUAGCUAGAUAUUCUAUUAUAGCAGCACAAAUGUUCUAAGACAAAAAUUGGUACCAGAGAAGUAAGGUGUUGUUAUGAAAAAUACCUAAAAACGUGGACGUGGAUUUGGAACCAGGUAAUGGGGAGAGAGGAUGGCACAGUAUUGAAGUUAAUGCUAGAAAAAACCUAAAUUGCCAUGAACUGAGCACUAAGGGCAAUUUUGGUGAGGGCUCGGAAGACAAAAGCUGUAGGGAAAUCCUGAAUCUUCUCAGAGAUUAUUUAAGUGGUCAUGACAGUGAAGUUUCUUCUAAUGAGGUCUCAGAUGGACAUGAGGAACAAGGUAUUGGAGACUGGAAGAAAGGUCAUUCUUGUUAUAAAGUGUCAAAGAACUUGGCUGAAUUAUGUCCAUAUCCUAGGACUUUAUGGAAGGUGGAACUUAAGAGCAAUGAACUUACGAAUGAAGAAAUCUCUAAGCAGUAAGAACUUAGAAUGGCUUCUUUUCUUUUUUUUCCUCUCUUUUUUUCUUUUCUUUUCUUUUUUUUUUUUUUUUUUUGAGACAAGUCUCAUUCUAUCACCCAGGCUGGAGUGCAGUGGCGUGAUCUUGGCUCACUGCAACCUCCACCUCCUAGCUUCAAGCAAUUCUCCUGCCUCAGCCUCUCAAGUAGCUGGGAUUAAAGGUACACGCCACCACGUCCAGCUAAUUUUUGUAUUUUUAGUAGAGAUGGGGUUUCAGCAUGUUGGCCAGGCUGGUCUCCAACUCCUGAUCUCAGGUGAUCCGCCCACCUCAGCCUCCCAAAGUGCUGGGAUUACAGGCAUGAGCCACCGUGCCCAGCCUCAGAAUGGUUUCUUUUAACUGCUUUUAGUAAAGUGCAAGAAGAGAGAAACUAUUUACACAGAUGGAAUUUAUAAUUUAAAAAUAAGCAGAAUAUAAAGGUUAGUGAUUUAUUAAAACUACAUGUCUUAUCUGUUGCCAGCAUCAUGUAGGCACAACUCAAAAAUGGGACAUGAACAAGAGCAUAAGCUUCAGAGAGCGUUUGAACAACUACAGAUGAUCACUACACACUCAGUAGAUUUUAAACGUGUUCUUCUCAUUGUUCAUUUAUUUUGGGGAUUGAAUUGAAGCAUUUCCUUUCUGAAUACUUUCAGUUCCAAUGGCAGCAAAAAUAUUACUUGAUUUUGUGUUCCCAACCUACAAAAUUCUAACCCAUUUUUCAAGUGACAGAAAAAAACCAUUGUACUGGCACUGUCAUUAAAAACCUUUACAAAACCUUAACACUUACUCAGAAACUUCACUGCCCAUAUCAGCUUCACUAUUCAAGAAAGAUUAAAAAAAAAAAAAAAGAAGAUUCAGAAACUAAAAUCAGGAAAGCUCUCAGAAACCUUCAAAAUUCCAUAGCCCGAGGUAUUGCCAUGGCUUUAAUGUCAAUGCCAUCAAUUUCUUUGAGGUUCAUAAACUCUUCCCUUAUACAUUAGUAACAGACUGGCCUACACAAAUAUCUACAAAUGUCACCUCUGAUUGUAGACUCUAACAUAUUGCAAAUGGAUACUGCGAAAUAUUGCAAGGAAUUAAUGCAACACAUUCAACCUUAUGAUCCACAGGCACAGGCAACCUUUUCUCAUAAUCUUCCUAAAAACUUGCAUGAUCGUAAACCUGAAGAUCUGGUGUUCUGACUUAAAGAAAUAAGAGAAAAAGCUCUAGAACACGAAUGAAAAAGUUGAUAUCAAAUACUGCUAAUAAUGGACACAAGAGGGCAACUCCAAUAUAUUGAUCCUUAAAGUCUUUUAAUUAAAGAGGCAUAAAUAAUCUUAGAAUCCCUGGAAAGAUGUCCUAAUCAGAAACUUCAAAGAUAAUUAUUUGUGGACCCCUCUAGAAACAGUCUUGAAAGAAACAGAAUCCAGCGAAGAUUUUUGGAUCAAGUUGACAACUGUGUUUAGUAGACAGUCUAUGCUUAUCUAUGGAACAAGAUGUAGAUGACCAAACCUUCAGAUUCUCAUGCUUUAAUCUGAAUGCUUUUGUUCAUUACCUUUUAGGUAUUUUCUUCUGCUGUUGGGUGUGUGUGUGUGUGUGUGUAUGCACAUAUCAGCUUUAUUGAGAUAUAAUUUACAUUCUGUACACUUCAGUAAUUUAAAGUGUAUAUAAAUACAAUGUUUUUAGUCCAUUCACAGAGUUGUAUGACUAUCCCCACAAUUAAUUUUAGAACAUUUUCAUCAUUCCCCAAAGAAGCCCUGUACCCACUUACAGUCACUCCCCUGUUCUCUCAUCAUCUCUAGCCAUAAGUAACCAGUAAUCUACUUUAUGUCUGUAUAGAUAUUCCUGUUCUGGACAUUUCAUAUGAGUGAAAUCAUACAAUAUUGAACUUUUAUUAUUUGGUUUCUUUCACUUGGCAUCAUAUUUUUAAGGUUCAUCCAUAUUGUAGCAUGUAUUAGUACUUCAUUUUUUUACCCGAAUACUACAUUUUAUGAAUAUCCCACGUUUUAUUUGCCUGUUUAUCAGUUGAUCAACAUUUAGAUUGUUUGCACUUUUUGGAUGUUAUUAAAAUAGUGUACAAUGAAAACUUGUGUACAAGUUUUUAUGUGGACAUACGUUUUUAUUUCUCUUGUGUAGACACCUGGAAGUAAAACUAAUGGACCAUAUAGUAUCCCUUUGUUUUUUUAUUAUAGCCAUACCAGCAGUUGUGAAGUGAUAUAUCAUUGUAAUUUUGAUUCAGAUUUAAUUGACAGCUAAUAAUGUUGAGCAUCUGUUAUUAUACUUAUUUGUCAUUUGUAUACCUUCUUCAAAGAAAUGUCUAUUCAGAUCAUUUUUUGUAGAUGUUCUUUAUCAUGUUGAGAAAGUUCUCUUCUAUUCCUAGUUUGUUGAGUUGUUUUUUCCCCUAUCCUUAAUGGGUGCUGGACUUUGUCAAUUCAUUUUUCUACAUCUAUUCAAAUGGUCACAUGGUUUUGUCCUUUAUUCUGUUAAUCUGAUAUAUUAUAUUAAUUGGUUUUCAGAUGCCAAACCAAUCUUGCAUUCUUGGAACAAACUCCACUUGGAAUGGAAUAUAACCUUUUUAUUUGUUGCUGGAUUUGGUCUACAAGUACUUUUUGAGGAUUUUUGCACAUAUAUUCCUAAAAUAUAUUGUUCUGUAGUUUUCUUUUUUGUGCUAUCUUUGUUUGGUUUUGGUAUCAGGAUAAUACUAGCCUCACAGAAAGAGUUGGGAAGUGUCUGCUCCUCCUCUCUACCUUUUGAGAAGAAUUGGUACUAAUUCUUCUUUAAAUUUUUGGUUUUAUUAAGCAUUAAAGCCACCCAGGGCUGAGCUUUUUUGUGUGUGGAAAAUUUGAAAAUUACUAAUUUAACCUAUUUAUUUAUUACAGGUCUAUUCAGAUAUUCUAUUUUUUUCUUGAGUAAUCUUUAGUAGUUUAUGUCUUUCUAGGAAUUUGUCAAUGUUGUCUAUGUUGUCUAACUUAUUGGCAUACAGUUUUUUGUAGUAUUCCCUCAGUAUUCUUUUUAUUUCCAUAAGGUCUGUAGUAAUGUUCCCCCUUUCACUCCUGAUUUUAAUAAUUUGAGCCUUCUCUCUUUUUCUCUUGCUCAUCCUUGUGAAAAGUUUGUUAAUUUUGUUGAUGUUUUCAAGGUACCAACUUUUAGAUUUGUUUAUUCUACCUAUUGUUUUUGUAUUCUCUCCUUUAUUUUUCACUUAACAUUUUAUUAGUUCUUUCCUUCUGCUCACUUUAGGUUUAGUUGCUCUUCUUUUUCCAGAAUUGUAUGUGGAAGAUUGGGUUUAUUUAUAUGAGCCCUUACUUCUUUUUUAGAUACAAACAUUUAAAUAAUAAAUUUCCCUUUAUGCACCAUUUCACUGCAUUCAAUACAUUUUCGUUUGUUGGGCCCUCAUUCUACAUAAUCUUAAAGUAUUUUCUAAUUGACUUUGUAGUUUCUUCCUUGUCCCAUUAUUUAUUUAAGAGUGUGCUGUUUCCUUCUGUUAUUUGUAGGUUCUGGAUUAUUAGCAAAUAAUUGUUACCACUAAAGUACCUAUUUUUUGCACUGCUAGUCAUUCCUUGGAAUGAUAUUAAUAAAUACCUACAAUUUACUUAUAAUUUGGCAACAAAAAUGCUAUAAACUGACUGUUAGAUUUGUAUACAAUUUCCUUUGGAUUCUACCCAGUUUACUUUUGGUACUCUUGCAAUGAAACCAAAUAGUAUCAUAGACACAACCUCUGUAGCACAUUUUAGGUGGAAAACACUGUCACAGAAUUUUAACUACCAGAUCUGUUUUAGGCCAUACAGUUUGCUCUUAGUUUUAUCAAGAGAAUUUUUAAGGCUUGCUGCGACACUGCUAUGUGUCCUUUUCAAAAUCUGUUCUUUUCAUUACUUACUUAGAAUAAGAUCUCUCUAAAAUUUUAAAUUAAUAGCACAGAGAGAGAGGCUGGGAAAGCAGCCUUUUUAUGUAAAUGAAACCUCUUAGGUAGUAAAAAAAACCCCAAAAAGCUGAGAAAGUGAUCACACAGUUUAAAUACAGUCAAGAUCUCUGAGCAUAAGAAGAGGUCAGAGCCAGCUGAUAGUAAACCUUGAUCUUCAGCUACCAAAUCUCAAAAUGAAACUCCAAAUGAGUUUGUUAUUGGAGAUGGGGACCAAGCUGAAGAUUGCUCUUCAUCAUAGAAGCAGUAAACUCUAAGAAAAGGAGCUCUUCAGCAGAGUAAACCUCAGAUCUCAACCACAAACUUUUGUGAGAUCAGCAAUCUCUGGAGGAAGAAGCCUCCAGACCUCAGCCAAUUGUCCAAUUGGUCAAAGUGAUAAAGAGCUUCAGCAAGUACCAGGGCCCUGAUAGGAGAGUUGCUGCAGGUCAGGGCCAAACUCCAGUCAGAUAAUUCCCUUGUUGCCAAAAUGUAAACCAGUAAGUGACUGAGGCAGAUCUCAAUUGACUAGAGGUUUAUUUUGCCAAGGUUGAGGACACACUUAGGAAACAGAUGCAAGUUACUGUAGGAUCUGUGAUCCAUGCAUUUUCCAAGUAUGGUUUUGGGAACUUCAAUAUUUAAAUAGGAAAGAGCAAGCGGGGAGGUGGGGGUGGGGUGAAGAAAAAGAGGCAGGAUAGGCAAUGAGGCAAGUGGUUACAUUCUUGUGACGUUUGAUUAGCAUUCAGUGAGUCUAUGUUUUAAAUGUGCAAAGAAGGUAGUAGAAAAAAAGUCACUUAAGCACUAUUCUCAUGCUCAGUACAUCUGCAUUUUACAUAAAAUAAAGCAUGUGAAAUUGCAGCUAUCUGUUUGGGAACAGAAAGCUCCCCUUCUUACUCACCACGGGGAUUGCUUUAAGAGUACUUGGGUGUCUUCCAGCUAGUUUUCCAUUCCAACCGUCGCUCCAGCAACCCUUUGACCUGGAUUCGAGCCUCCACGAAUGGACGCCACUUGCCGAGACCAGCUCGCUCGGGGAGACUCUAACCCAAUGGAGCUAGAGGAAUUAAGGACAUACACACAGAAAUACAGAGGUGUGAAGUGGGAAAUCAGGGGUCUCACAGCCUUCAGAGCUGAGAGCCCCGAACAGAGAUUUACCCACAUAUUUAUUAACAGCAAACCAGUCAUUAGCAUUAUUUCUAUAGAUAUUAAAUUAACUAAAAGUAUCCUUUAAGGGAAAAGAAGGGAUGGGCCAAAUUAAUUGCAGCAGGAACAAGCCCUUAAGACACAGAUUGCUCAGCUUUUGUUUGUGGCUUAAAAAUGCCUUUAAGCAGUUUUCCACCUUGGGUGGGCCAGGUGUUCCUUACCCUCAUUCCCGUAAACCCACAACCUUCCAGCAUGGGUGUUAUGGCCAUUAUGGACAUGUUACAUUGCUGCAGAGAUUUUAUUUAUGGCCAGUUUUGGGGUCAGUUUAUGGCCAGACUUUGGGGGGCUUGCUCCCAACAGUUUUAAAUGUGCAAAGAAGGUAGUAUAAGAAAAAGUUACUUAAGCACUAUUCUCAUGCUCAGUAAACCUGCACGUUACAUAAAAUAAAGUAAGCAUGUGAAAUGGCAGCUAUCUGUUUGGGAACAAAAGGAAGAUAGUUUUUUGCAUGACUCAAUUCCCAAGCUUAACUUUCCCUUUGGCAUAAUGAAUUUGGGGUCCCAAGGUGUUAUUUUUCUUUCACAGGAGAAGGUGUUUUAAAUUUUGCUCAUAAGAGUACACUUUACUCAGGCUGGCCAUGGUGGCUCAAACCUGUAAUCCCAGUACUUUGGGAGGCCAAGCUGGGCGGAUCACUUGAGGUCAGGUUUUCGAGACCAGCCUGGCCAACAUGGUGAAACCAGAUCUUUACUAAAAAUACAAAAAUUAGCUGGGCAUGGUGGCAGGUGCCUGUAACCCCAGCUACUCAGGAGGCUGAAGUGAGAGGAUCACUUGAACCUGGGUGGCAGAGGUUGCAUUGAGCUGAGAUUGUGCCACUGCAUUCCAGCCUAGGUGACAGUGCGAGACUCUGCCUCAAUUAAAAUAUAAAUAUAUAUAUAUAUAUAUAUAUAUAUAUAUAUAUAUAUAUAUACUUUACUCAAAUGUUAAAAGCUGUAAAUAGCUUAAAAGAUAAAAAAGGUUUCUUGACUCUGAAAAACAAAAUCAGCAAAUGUUUUAAACAAAGAGUCAUAAAAGAUUAUUUCAAUUGUCUGUUAGUUCAGUCCAUGCAGUUAACUUCUGGUCAAUAUUGGAUCAGGAAUCCUCAUGAAAACAUCAGCUCUCCAUGAGAGUCCUGGAAGAUUUUCUCUCCAUUUCAAUUACACGGUCUCUAAAUGUGAAUUCCACAAAGUUCUAUAGCUGAUUAUAAACCACACUAUGAAAGGAUCAAAGUAAUCAACAAUUGUAGAUGACAAAAGUUGUAGAGCAGCCAUAGUUAGAGACACAACUGACAAGGAAAUUUGGUUACUUUUGUGGCAUAUGACAAUUUUACACAUAAUAAUCGUAAUUACUACUGACAACAUAUAUUGAGACAUAUCAGAAUCACAGGAAUAUUCUAUGAUUUUAGGACACACACUAAUAACACAUUUAUGUAAAUAUAACCCAAAGUAGGUUAAACACCAUUUCAUAUUUAACAAUGCUUCCUGUAUAAUUUUUUUCUGUAGAAAAUAAGCCAAAUAUGUCUGUUUUGGACUUCAGGGGACCUAAUAUCAAAACAUUAGUGAGGUCAAAAGGACUGAAUUUAGUAUUUGAUUUUAGAAAGUUUGUCAAAUAUGAAAAGUUUAAAACACAGGAUAUCACGAAAUAGGAUCACAGGUCAUUGUAAAAUAAAUAAGUCAUUCAUUUAGCCAAAAUGAUAACUCAAAGAUGUAAAAAUAAAUGGCCAAACCCUUUAUACUUUGAGACAGGAGACUUAAUUUCCCAAACAGUAAGCUCUAAUAAAGAUAGCAUUAGGUCAAGACCAAUUAAAUGUCUCUCAAAUCUUAUAAAUAAAUCUACUAAAUUUUAAACAACUUGACUAAAAGAUAUAAUUCAAUAAGCCUUUUUAUAACCUUUUAUAUUUUUUAAAAAAGUGGAUUAAUGCUCCACAAAAGCCAUAUUAAUCUGACACAGGGGCCCAGUUGCUGGUCUUGCAUCAGUGUACCUUUGAUACUAAUGUUUAAUUUAUAGAGAAACCCUGAACUAAUUUUCUUUCUCAAAAUUGGCCCUUACAAUCUCACGUGCUCACCUCUUCUGCAGUAGUCCCUGGGAUUGGGGAGUUGAAGAGUUUUAAUUUCUGUCCCUGUGUCUUAUUAUAAACACACUUUGUUUUGACUGUCAUCUUCUCCUGGGUCUGAAGAUGAGGCUUUAACUGCUGUCAAUGUUUAAAAGUUAGCAGGGUUUGGUGUCUUUUUCAGACCCAGGAAUCAAUGGAGUCAAAGCCCUGUAACUUAACAGCACAAGGAUUUCAAAAGCAACACAAAGUUAAAUAGAUGUAAUAAUGAGAGGUGACAGCGUGCUGGCAGCCCUCACAGCCCUCGCUCACUCUCGGCACCUCCUCGGCCUUGACGCCCACUCUGGCCAUGCUUGAGGAGCCCUUCAGCCCGCCACUGCACUGUGGGAGCCCCUUUCUGGGCUGGCCAAGGCCAGAGCUGGCUCCCUCAGCUUGCGGGGAGGUGUGGAGGGAGAGGUGUGGGCGGGAAUCGGGGCUGCGCGCAGCAAUUGCGGGCCAAUGCCAGUUCCGGGUGGGCGUGGGCGCCGGCCCGCACUCGGAGCAGCAAGCUGGCCCCGCUGGCCGGGGCAGUGAGGGGCUUAUCACCUGGACCAGCAGCUGCUGUGCUCAACUUCUCCGAGGGCCUUAGCUGCCUCCCUGUGGGGCAGGGCUGGGGACCCGCAGCCCACCAUGCCUGAGCUUGCUCCCGCCCCAGCCGUGGGCUCCUGCCCAGCCCCAGCCUUCCUGAGGAGCCCCGCCCGCUGCUCCAGGGCGCCCAGUCCCAUUGACCACCCAAGGGCUGAGGAGUGCAGGCGCAUGGCACGGAACUGGCAGGCAGCUCCACCUGUGGCCCUGUUGCGGGAUCCACUGGGUGAAGCCAGCUGGGCUCAUGAGUCUGGCGGAGACUUGGAGAACCUUUAUGUCUAGCUAAGGGAUUGUAAAUACACCAAUUGGCAGUCUGUAUCUAGCUCAAGGUUUGUAAACACACCAAUCAGCACACUGUGUCUAGCUCAGGGUUUGUGAAUGCACCAAUCGACACUCUGUAUCUAGCUACUCUGGUGGGGACUUAGAGAACCUUUGUGUCCACACUCUGUAUCUAGCUAAUCUAGUGGGUAGGUGGAGAACUUUUGUGUCUAGCUCAGGGAUUGUAAACGCACCGAUCAGCACCCUGUCAAAACGGACCAAUCAGCUCUCUGUAAAACAGACCAAUUGGCUCUCUCUAAAAUGGACCAGUCAGUAGGAUGUGGGUGGGGCCAUAUAAGAGAAUAAAAGCAGGCUGCCUGAGCCAGUAGUGGGAACUUCUGGCUUUGAGUCCCCUUCCACACUGCGGUGUUCUUUCGCUCUUUGCAAUAAAUUUUGCUGUUGCUCACUCUUUGGGUCCUCACUGCCUUUAUGAGCUGUAACACUUACCACGAAGGUCUGCAGCUUCACUUCUGAAGCCAGUGAGACCAUGAAGGCACUGGCAGAAACAAACGACUCCAGACGCACCACCUUAAGAGCUGUAACACUCACCGCGAAGGUCUGCAGCUUCACUCCCGCGAAGGUCUGCAGCUUCACUCGUGAUCCAGCAAGACUACGAACCCACCAGGAGGAAGAAACUUUGAACACAUCCGAAUGUCAGAAAGAACAAACUCUGGACAUGCCGCCUUUAAGAACUGUAACACUCACCGCGAGGGGCCGCGGCCUCAUUCUUGAAGUCAGUGAGACCAAGAACCCACCAAUUCCUGACACAGUAACUUUAACUUUAAAAAUAAAUGUAACUCAGUUUUUGUAAGUAAAUCAAAACUUAAUAACAAUUAUGUAGGACUUAUUUCGAUAAAACAUAAAUCUUUUUUGUUAGUCUAGUUACUAAAAGUCAAACAAAGAAAAAAAAAAAACACCCUCUGCAGUGUGACUGCUUUUCCAUAUAGGGAGUCUAUUUAGAGAACCUGAAAGUCAAAACUAAUGAAAAUGUAUUUGAACUAGUUAGACAUAGGAAGAGUGUUUCCUGGGUUACAGGAAACAUUAAGUGAACAUUUUUGGUUUCAUAGAACAAUUUAAAGCCAAAGCACAGAAUGUUAUACUGGGAGAAAAUAUUUCCUUUAUAACUUUAAGAUAAAAUGUUUUAGUAUCAGGCCACAAUAGCAGUUAAAACCUGAACGAAAAAUUUACAGGAGCUGACAAAGUUGAGAGAGAGAGAGAUAUCAUUGCUGUCCUUCUCAAAGGUGAGAUAGCUAAAAACAGCAAGAUGCAAUAUAAAUUGAACUUCUGGUGUAAAAAAAAUGAAAAUCUCAUAAUUUUAUUAAAAUAAUAUGUUAAGAAAGUUUUGUUGUUCUAACCAAUUCCUUAGUGUAUUAGUGUAUUUUUCAUAUAGAUCUCUAGAAAGUCUAUUAUAAAUAAUUUCCUUGUAAUUGUAGACAACUUGAUCACAUAAAAUUUUUUUCACAUAAAUCUUCUUUUUAUAAUCCCUUAUUAUGACAUACACAAACCACUUAUGACAUGUUUGGACUUCCUGUUUUAUUCUAAACAUCCUUCUUUUCUAAAUAACCAGUCAUUUUAUUUUAGGACAAAAAUUUACCAUACAAGAUUCUUUCUCAUAUAAAAUAAUUUUCUUUUUAAUCUUCCUUACACCAGAAUACCUCUUUAUAUUUGUAUCUGUCUUUACAUCUCUCCUAUUUACUGGUUCCUUUUAUCCUGUUUCAUGAAUAACCUUUAAAUUACACAAAAAUAAUUUUCCUUUAAAUAAGAACACUUUUUUUUUUUUUGAGAUGGAGUCUUGCUCCGUUGCUCAGGCUGGAGUGCAGUAGUGCAAUCUCGGCUCACUGCAAGCUCGGCCUCCCAGGUUCACGCCAUUCUCCUGCCUCAGCCUCCUGAGUAGGUCGAACUACUGGCGCCUGCCACCACCCUGGCAAAUUUUUUGUAUUUUUAGUAAAGACGAGGUUUCACCAUGUUAGCCAGGAUGGUCUUGUUCUCCUGACCUCGUGAUCCGCCCGCCUUGGCCUCCCAAAGUGCUGAGAUAACAGGCAUGAGCCGCCACGCCCGGCCAUAAGAACACAUUUUUUAAGAAAAAUGUUUUCCCGGUGGCAGUAGUGGCAGCUGCGACAAAGGCGGAGCUAGCACUACAACUGGCUCCUCGCUCUGGCCUCCGCCAUGGAGCCAGGAGAGAGCCUCCGCCAGCGGCCAGGCAUGAGCUAGACACCGCCAGGGACCCUGGCCUCUUGGGGGCACCGCGCUCACCCAGGGGCUGCACAGGCACCCAGAGCCAAACUCCAAGAUGACAGGCAAACUCAGCAAGAAGAAGGGCUACAAUGUGAACGACGAGAAAGCCAAGGACAAAGACAAGAAGGAUGAGGGCGUGGCAAGGGAAGAGGAGGGUCCCCGAAGGAGAGUGAGCCCCAGGCAGCUGCAGAGCCCGCCGAGGCCAUGGAGGGCAAGAAGUCUGACCAGGACGCGGAGGGCAAGGCCGAGGAGACAGAGGGCAAGAAGGAUGCCACGGCUGCCAAGGAGGAGACCCCGAAGGAAGAGCCCGAGAAGACAGAGAGCGCGCAGAGGCCAAGGCUGACCCCCCGAGAAAGAGCAGGCAGCCCCCGUCCCUGCUAAUGGCGGCGAGGCCCCCAAAGCUGCCGAAGUCACCACGGCCCGGGCCAAGAGCGCGGACCCUACCACUGGGGAGGAGCCCAGCAAGGAGGAAGGGAAACCUAAAAAGACUAAGGCGCCUGCAGCUCCUGCCACCCAGGAGACCAUAAGUGACGGGCUCCAGCAUGAUACGCAAACCGCAGCAGCUCGGAGGCUGCCCCCUCUUCCAAGGAGACCCCCCGCAGCCAGGAAGCCCCUAGUUCCACACCCAAGGCCCGGGCCCCCACAGCCUCCGCAGAAGAGCCCAAGCCGGCGGAGGCCCUGGCAGCUAAUUCCGAUCAAACUGUAGCCAUGAAAGAGUGACAAGGACAGCCUAUGGGAAAAAUAAUACCACUUAAAACAGUCUCCCCUCUCUCAAUCUUUUCUCUCUCUCUCCUCUCCUUUCUCUCUCUCCUCUCUCUCUCUCUCCUCUCCUCUCUCUCUGCCUCUCCUCUCCUCUCUCUCUCCCUCUUAUACUAACUUGUUUCAAAUUGGAAGUAAUGAUAUGUAUGCCCAAGGAAAAAUAAAGGAUGUUGUCCCAUCAAGGGAGGGAGGGAGUGGGAGAAUGCAAAUAGUAUUUUUGUGGGGAAAUAUCUAAUAUAGCUUCAGUCAACUUUACCAAGAAGUCCUGGAUUAACUCAGGAUUUAGCUGUUUUCAUUAAAUCAACGAUAUCAAAUGCCCUAUUUAUCAACAAAUUACACCAACAAAUAUAGUACUCUUGUGGGCUGCAUUUCUAGCUUUAUAAACCUCAUGCCAAAUUUUGACAACUUAUAAUAUCUAGUAGAGGUAAAUGUUAAACUGCCUGACCAAUGACUCUAAACAACAAUGUAUAUUGACAAUUCUGAAGAUAUUUCUAAUUUUAUUUUACCAAUAACUUUAAAACCAGCUUAUUUAUUAAGAAUUUACUUAAGUUACAUAAACUUGAAAAAGCAUUUGGGCUUAAGGUUUCUAUUUUUCUAAUAAAGUAUUUGAUUUAAGCCCCUUUUUUCCCUUUAAGGCCAAAUAAUUAGAGCUGUUUUAUAUAUCUUUGAUAAUGAAACAUAUACAUGACACAUAAAUACAGACAUGUAUUAGACACACAGGUAGAAAUAGAUCUUAGAUUUGUAAGACCUCCUCUUUUUUCCCCUCUUAUUUUAGACUUCCAAUUUUUUUUUUUUUUAGAUGCAGUCUCACUCUGUGGCCCAGGCUGGAGUGCAGUGGCGUGAUCUUGGCUCACUGCAACCUCCAUCUCCUGAGUUCAAGCAAUUCUCCUGUCUCAGCCUCCUAAAUAGUUGGAAUUACAGGCAAGCACCACCACGCUCAGGUAAUUUUUGUAUUUUUAGUAGAGACAGGGUUUUGCCAUGUUGGCCAGGGUGGUCUUGAAUUCCUGGCCUUAAGUGAUCCGCCAGCCUUGGCCUCCAAAAGGGCUGGGAUUACAGGCACGAGCCACCUUGCCUGGCUCCAAUUUCUUGAUAAUUUGUUUCAUUACCCUAGGCAAUUGUCAGGUAGAUAGCCCUAAAUUUGUAUACCGAAGGAACAACUCUCAGGUGAAAAUCAGCAAAAUUUACUUCUCAAAGGAAAGAGAGAGAGAGAAUCUGUUGUGUUAACAGGGUGAUUAAAAAAUGGAUACCAAGUCAAACAUAAAAUUACAGAAAUCUACCACAGGAUUGUAUAAAGAGACCAAUCACACUUAGAUAGUUUUAAACGUAGUCUCUGUUUUAACUGGAUCUCUGAGCUCUGAGCACAGCCCACAUUCAAUCCUGGGUCUCCAAAAAGGAGAGAGAAAUCAUGGGACUAGGCCACAUAAUGCUUUUAUGGUGUUACUUUGUUACAAAGAUGUUGCUUGAGUGUCUAAGCACCCUUUCUUAUUCUAAACUCCCAAGAGUAGCCCCUGUAAUAAUAACUAUUUCAGUUAAAAAAAAUCAGAAAACAAAAUAUAGAAGCAAGGAGUUUAAGAUCUGAGAGGAACUUGUUUAUACUCUUAGGGUUCCAUAAGGAAAAACAGAGGUUUUGCCCCCAGAAGGAGUCUGGCAUCUUCUCUGUUUUCUUUAAGGAAUCCCAGCUCCAAUUUCUUGAUAAUUUGUCUCAUUACCAUUGUUAAAAUUAUUUCCAGUGCCUCAUGCAGCAGAGGGUGGGAAGAGAAAGGAGAGACAGGCAGAAGUAAAUAGAAAAAGCAGAAUUCAGUUGACUGAGAAGAAAAAAACUUUUUUACAAAAACACGUUCCUAGAAGACAAAAAAACAUAAAGUCCUUUUACAUACACACACACACACACACACACACACACACACACGGAUUGCGGAUACUAUCUUUUAAUUAAGCUGCCUUUUAACUGUUGAGGUCUUAAAAAAUCCUUUUAAAUAUUAUUACCAUAUUUUAGCUGGGAAAAGCUGCUGAUAUUUCAAAGGUAAAAUAAAUCUCAAACCAGAAAGGACUUGAUUCAUAACCAACCAACCCAGGCUGUCAUGCUAAAAAAAAGGGCAGAAUCUUUGCUGCUGAACUACUGCAUAGGGUGACUACCAUUGCUCCUUUAGUUUAGUUUGGCUAGCAGAAGGUGGUCUUGCCAUGUAAAUAAAGCCUCUCAGGUAAUCAAAAUGUUUCUUUUUUUACUUUUGCUGGUGUUUUUUUCUUUUCUUUUUUUUUUCAGCUACAGGAAUUUAGCCAAUUCAGAGGAAAUCUUCCCCAUAAUUAUGGAACUUUCUUACAGAUUUUACCAAGUCUGGUCAACCCAAUAAGAAAAAGACUGAAAUAACAACAACAACUUCAACAAAUAAAAAAAAACAGUUAAGCUAAAUAAACAGAUGAUUGCAGAAUUUAUGUGAUUACUGGGUACUCUAAUGGUAAGGAGAAAUUAAGACCAGCUAGUUGUUAAUCUUAACUUUUAGUCAUUAAGGAGAAUUUCCAAGACAAAACUGCAAUCCAGCUGCUUACCUAGGAAUACGGCUUAGGCUGAAAACUUCUAUCGUCUUAGAAAUGGGAAUAAACCUCACACUCACCGUCCCUGUUGGAAGCAAGCUGAAACUCCAAAAAAAAAGUUGCCUGUUGUCCAUCAUCAUGGUGAAGCGGCGUCGUUGUCUGGGGUAAGUACCUGGGGUUCAUUGUCUCGUACCAAGAUUAAGGACAGAGUUCCCUCCAUUGUUCAUUGAUUUGUAAACCAAAAUGUAUCUGUGACAGGUAUUAAUCAAUUGAGAAGAGUUUUUUAUUUUUAUUUAUUUAUUUAUUUUUUGCCAAGGUUCAGGACAGAUCCAGGUGUCUUUCUCCAAAGAUGAUUAUGAUGGUGUUAAUAUUUAAAGGGGAAAGUGGCCUAGAGGGGAACAAGGGAGGGUAUGAUCAUAUUACUGUAUCCACAUGUUGCAGGAGAAAUGGAGCAGGUACAGGAAUAGUCAAUUAUGUGUUCUUCUCAUGCUCAGUAAAUCAGAACUUUACAUAAGUUCAGGUGAACAUAGAGUAGCUACCUGGGGAGAUAUUUCACCUUUUUAUCUGUAGUGCUCUGCUUAAGAACAAAGGAAAAAACAGCUUCUUGCAUGAUUCAGCUUUUAGCUUAAUUUUUUUCCUUUAGGCAUAGUGAAUUGGGGUCCCAGGUUUUUAUUUUUCUUUCACAAAUUAAAACUGAUAUUUAGACUAUUUCUCGGUCCACUAAAUUUCUCUCAUCCUAAACUCCUGCUAACCACAUGUACUCUCUCUGUUCAUUUCCCUAUUUAUUUAUAUCAGCACUUCCUUCUUCUUGCCAACUUCGGUGCCACAUAAGGGAAAAACAACAGAAAUCUAACACCCUGGGAUACCUUCAGAGAAAACAGAAAAGACACUGCAGACUUCUUUUUGGGAGAAACUCCUGUGUUUUUUUUUUGUUUGUUUGUUUGGUUGGUUGGGUUUUUUUGUGUUUUUUUUUGUGUUUUUUUCUAUCAGGGAGUCCUAAGAACUGUAAACGAACAUGUUAGCACUAGAGAACAUAUCCUAGUCAUGUGGCACCAAAGUAUGUUACUGGUGGCAAAUGCAUACACGUCUGCAGCAACCUCAAUUCCUGCCUGCUCAGAAGAAAGAAUUCAGCUGAGGGGCAUAAGGCACAGUGAGAGACUGAGGCAAGUUUUAGAGCAGGAGUGAAAAUGUACUAAACAGUAUUAGAGCAGGAAUGAAAGGAAGUAAAGUACACUUGGAAGAGGGCCAAGUGGGCAACUUGAGAGGUUAAACUGCAUGGUUUGAGUUUUGAUUUGAGGUUUUACGUGUUGGCAUGCAUUCAGGGGCUUGUGUCCCUUCUCCCCUGAUUCUUCCCUCCGGGUAGGAGGGAAGAAUCCACCUGAGCAGUGGCCUGCCAGCACUUGAGAGGCUCCGCAAGCACAAGUGUGUUUAUGGGAGUUGUGCACAUGCUCAGUUGAGGCAUUCUUCCCUUACCAGUCGAGUGUUUCUAGAGGAAGGUCAUAGACUAAUAGUCUAAUAGUCUAUGACCUUUAGUCAUACUAGUGCACAUGCCUGAGCCCACUCACCUGUGAACCCCCAAAAUUUGAGACAGGUCUCAAUUAAUUUAGAAAGUUUAUUUUGCCAAGGUUGAAGACAUGCCCAGUGACAUAGCCUCAAGAAGUCCUGAUGACAUGUGCCCAAGGUGGUCCGGCCACAGCUUGGUUUUAUACAUUUUAGGGAGACAUGAGACAUCAAUCACUAUGUAAGAAGUACAUUAGUUCCGUCCGGAAAGGCGGAGACAGCUCAAAGCAAGACCCCCUAUUGGGGGCUUCGAAGUAACAGGUAGGUGAGAGACAGAUGGUUGCAUUCUUUUGAGUUUCUGAUAAGUCUUUCCAAAGGAGGCAAUCAGAAUAUGCAUCUGUCUCUGUGAGCAAAUGGAUGACUUGAAUAGAAUAGAAGGCAGAUUUGCCCUGAGCAGUUCCCAUCUUGAAGGGACCCAAGAUAUUUUUCUUUCACAUUUUCCCCUUUUCUUUUUUAACAUCUUUGGAGAAAGCAUUUUUACAACAGAAUGAGUCUCCAGUCUCAGGAAAGGUCAUCUGACCUUUCCUGGCUAGGACGGUUUAUUCCUAGAUUGGUAGGUCUGGAAAGUUCAUUUUUAGCAGGUUGUGAAGUCUCAUGUCCUGUGAAGAGAAAAUAUGGGGGAGGAAGGGAUGAAAAAAACAACAAACAAAAGAACAAUCCUGAAAAAAUUGAUAUAGGCCACAUUACUCUGCAGUCCAUAAUAGUAGGCAGGUAUGAAAGUGGCUUAUGUACGUAAAUAGGUUAUGUUAUAUUUUUCUGAAGUUUAAGUUGUCUGGCUUCAGUUCCCAGGGUUUUUAGAAAGCAUAGCUUAGUUUUCAGUGACUCCAAAUUGGGAAAAAUUGAGAAAAAAAAAAGAAGGAAAAAAAUUGAAAACAUUAUUUUGAAGGCUUGUAGCCAAGAAAAAUUAGAAUUCAGUCCAAACUCUAGAAAAAUAAUAAAAAUUGAAAAAAAAUAGGCAAGACUAGACUCUAACAACAGGUGUACAAUUGUUUUAGAAGAUAAUUUGUUUUUCUCUCUUCAGUUUCGCAUAUUACUAAAGACAAAUCAUGGUAGGAUUGGUUUGUUUAUUAUACUUGGCCUAACUAUUUGUAUACAAUGCAGCAAGAAUGAUUAUUUUUUACUUAGGCUUUUAAGUAGGCUCUGAUGGAACUUUGUUCCAUAGCAGGAAUCUCAGAUAAGACUUUGUAAAACCCGUAAAACCCAGCCGAGCCAUGGAUUUAUGCCAUUAAAUACCCAUGAGUUGGGUGAAAUUUCCUCUCCUUUUGAGGGCCCAAGAUAAACCUGGGGCGUCUGCACUUGUCAAAAAGUGAUAUUCUUUACUUACACAGUCAGAAACCCUGUUCAGGGACUGUGUAUACAGAAUAUGAGGCCAGUUUUUCCAAGGGCUUUAUUGGCUCCGUAAGUCAAGUUUGAUUCCUUAUAAGGAAAGCACAUGAUUCCAGUCAAAGCCUUGGUAAAAUAACCAAAUUCUCCAAAUGUGUCCUGUUACAAAUGAAAACAGAUUCUUACUGCACUUAUGCAAAUAACUGUAUUGCCAUAAGUUAAGAAUACUCACAAAUAGUUUCCAAAUUCUGGAUAAAUCAGAUAGAAACAACUAUGCCACAAAUUUUGUUCAUAGGAGUAUACUAAAUUGUUAAAAUCUGUCAGUAGCUCAAAAGAAAAGUCAUAAGACUCGGAAACGCAAAACAAAGGACCAGCAAAUAUUUUGAGCAAAAAGUAAAAAAGAUUGGUUCAGUCCAUGCAGUUAAUUCCUGUUAAUUCCUGCUUGAUACUCAUGAACAUUUAGCUCUCCAUGAGUCCUGAAGGUUCUUCCUCUAUUCUGUUGUCACAAUCUCCAAAGUUAUCAGAAACCUGCAUUCAAGAGCACCUAUUGGAGUUUUAUAGCUGAUUAUAAAACCACCUCCUAAAGAGGACCAAAACAAGACAACAAUUGUCCAUGGAUGAAAAAAAGUUGUUUUUGAGACGGAGGCUCCCUGAGUCGCCCAGGCUGGAGUGCAGUGGUGUGAUCUCUGCUCACUGCAAGCUCUGCCUCCCAGGUUCACCCCAUUCUCCUGCCUCAGCCUCCUGAGUAGCUGGGACUACAGGCACCCGCCACCAUGCCAAGCUAAUUUUUUUCUAUUUUUAGUAGAGAUGAGGUUUUCACCGUGUUAGUCAGGAUGGUCUUGAUCUCCUGACCUCGUGAUCGCCUGUCUCAGCCUCCCAAAGUACAGGGAUUACAGGCGUAAGCCACCAGCCCGGCUGAAAAAAAAAGUUUUAAGGCAGCCAUAGUCGAAAGGCACAAUUGACAAGGAAAUUUGUUGCCUCUGUGGCACACAAUAAUUUUAACAUAACAAUUAUGAUGCCGGGUAUUUGGUGCCUGGCACAAGACUUUUUUUCUUAUAUAAAAUUAUUUUUCUUCAAGCUUUUUUUACCUCAGAAAAAUACCUCUUUAUUUUUACAACUUUCUUUACAUAUUUUUUAUUUCCUGGUUCCAUUUACCUUGUUUUAUACAUAAUGUUUAAAUAAGCUUUGAAUUAGACAUAAAUUUUUCACUUUUCUUUUUAAAAGGACACACUUCUCUGUUUUUGUUUUUUUUUUUUAGCAAGAAUGUUUUCCUGCAAUAUAUAUUUAUUGGAAAAUACCCAAGUAAUGAAACAUCUAUUAUUUAAUUUAAUAUAACUUUAUAUUCUAAAUUAUGACCAGUUUGUCUACAAGUAUUUUUCCCAUUACAUUUGCCUAAUUAUCUAUUUUAAUUAUUUACCUAGAUUAUUUAUGAAUACUGUAAUAGUCAUGAAUUUAAAGUUAUGAAACUGCUAUUGAAAAAUUAUAACCAGCCAGGCAUAGUGGCUCACGCCUGUAAUCCCAGCACUUUGGGAGGCUGAGGCAGGUGGAUCACGAGAUCAGGAGAUCGAGACCAUCCUGGCUAACAUGGUCAAACCCUGUUUCUACUAAAAAUACAAAAAAUUAGCCAGGCGUGGUGGCGGGGUGUCUGUAGUCCCAGCUACUUGGGAGGCUGAGGCAGGAGAAUGGCAUGAACCCGGGAGGCAGAGCUUGCAGUGAGCCAAGAUCGCACCACUGCAUUGCAGCCUGGGCGACUGAGCGAGACUCUGUCUCAAAAAAAAAAAAAAAAAAAAAAAAAAAAAAAAGAAAGAAAAAUUAUAACUGAGACAGUGAAAAAAGAUUUGAUCUAGGCCGGGCACGGUGGCUCAUGCCUGUAAUCCCAGCACUUUGGGAGGCUGAGGUGGGUGGAUCACCUGAGGUUGGGAGUUUGAGACCAGCCUGACCAACAUGGAGAAACCCCGUCUCUAUUUAAAAAAAAAAAGAAAAAAAAUGCAAAAUUAGCCUGGCAUGGUGGUGCAUGCUGUAAUCCCAGUUACUUGGGAUGUAGCAGGACAAGCUGCAGGCAAAACCUCUCAGACACCGAGUUGUAGAAGGAAGGGCUUUAUUCAGCUGGGAGCAUCAUCAAGCUACUGCCUCAAAAUCUGAGCUCCCCGAGUACACAAUUUCUGUCCCUUUUAAGGGCUCACAACGCUAAAGAUUUCACAUGAAAGGGUCGUGAUUGAUUUGAGCAAGCAGGGGGUACGUGACAGGGGCUCCAUGUACUGGUGGUCAGAGAAACAGAACAGGGCAGGGAGUUGCACAAUGUUCUUUUAUACAAUGUUGGGAAUCUAUGAGUAACAUCGGUUUCUAAGUUAUGAGUUGAUUUUUAACUACUGGGUUUAGGCCAGGCAGGCCCAGGCCUGGUUUUGGGCCUGGCAUCAGGCUGCCUGUCUUUGAUUUCAUGUCCUUGUUUUUUUUCUUUAAACAGGUACUGAGUAUAAAACAAUAUGAGAGGGUCUCUCUCUUCCCUCAUUUCCCCCUUUGAGACUCUCACUUUUUAUUAGUGGGAGUUCUCACUCUUAUUUUUGCUACUUAUGUCUUUUUGUGCAAUAAAUUGAUAGUUAUUCAUAUAGUACACUUGUGCUGAAGCAUUUUGGUGAACUAAGGUAGUGAUGAAGCUUUUUAUCAUUUGAAGAAGUACAGGUAGUAAACAAGGGAGCAGUAAGCAGGUUCUUAUUACUAUUAUAACUUUUAUUAUAAGAGUUUUAAAUUCUCCUAGUGCUGGGAACUAAUUUUUAAACAUGGCUUCAGGGCCAAAUUCGUGCCACACUUGUACAGGCACAUGUGUCAGUUUUGUCAUAUUUUUAACUAUGUCUUUAACUACUUGCCUUUGAUUAUCUAUGUAUAGACAGUAAUUAGUAAGGUUAAAUGUCUUAUAGACCUCUCUUUCAGCUGCUAGCAAGUAGCUGAGAGCCAAUCUAUUUUGAUAGAUAGCAUUUUUUAUCUGAGUUUCUUGCCGGGCCAGAAUAGUCAAGGCUUGACCAGUUUUAUUAGUGAUGAUUUCUGAAACAGCUUGUAACCAUAUGAUUUGGUUGAGCAUGUAGAUGGGGGUCCGAUAUCCCCACGAGCCAUCUUGUGCCCAAGUGGGGGGUCCGUAGUAUUAUAUAAUUUUUUAGGAGGUCAUUCAUCAUCUUUUUAAUUACCUAUGGCUAUGCUUCAUUUUUCAUGAGAAGCAUAGAUAGGGAAGCCCAGGAGUUCACCUGUUUUUAUGGGCAGUAAAAAGAAAGAUGGUUUAAUGGUGCCAAUUACACAGCUACCUGUCCACCGAUCAGGCAGCUUAGCAUAAGCUCUGUGUCCACAUAUCCAGUAUAACCCGGUGGGGGCAGCCCAGUCCCGGUGAAAUUCUGGGUGAGCCCAGACAGUCUGCAACCUUGGAAAUUUACUGAAUGGAUCUCUUUCUGUGUAAUUGGAGCUCCACCAUGUAACUGUUUUGUGUGUGUGUGGUACUAUUAUAGUUUUUGUCCUAGGCAACUAAGUCAUCCUACAGAAUGAGUGAAUUCUUUUUUUUUUUCUAGCUAUGCAAUAUUGUCCAAUAAUUGAAACUUUUAGAACCUAGAAAUGAUCAGGGUGAUUCUUUUGGGCUGAGAAUUCAUCAGGAACUGGGUCUGUAGGCACUAAUUCUCAGGCUUCUUAUGGCCAUUGAUCUCUUAUUACAGUUGUUUUACAAACAUAAUAUGAAGUGACAUUUAGAGACUGGGCUACGUGCUCGGCUAAUUGCAAAAACAAAUUUUUGAUUUUUCCUGGAGUCUCUGGUACUGGCACAUUUAGUUCAUCAUAGAAAGUCUGAAAUACUGGUUCUGGAGAGUGUCUUUGAACCUCUCCUUUUAUUAGGAUGUUCACGCUAGGAUCUAGUCCCUUUCCAUCAAUGCCUAAAGAUACAUAUUUUCCUUUAUUACAUUCUGGUUCUGAGGGGUUUGUGAUUAUCAUUUCUAAAAGGUUGCAGCUCCCACUUGUGCAGGAGGGGCUGACUUUUCCUUUUUGGAGCCAAACAGGAUCUUUUUUAUCUUCUGUUCAAGUAGCCCAGAUGACACAAGACCAGUAUUGACACAUCUCACAUAUGAUUCUGGACAGAUAUACCUAUUUUUUUUUUUACCGUGUAACUUUUUUUUCCAAUUUAGAGAACCGCAUCCUAUUCCAUGCUGCUUACUAUCAAUAGUGGCACAAGCGUCAAAUUUUAAGGUUACAUUUUUGGGACCCCUUUUUCUUCUGUUCUAGCUAUUACUUUACUUGUGUCACUUAGAGAAUGACCAGUUCUCAGUCCUACUUCAAAGACUGUGAUCAUAGGAGGUUCAAAGGGGUCAUAGCACACAUCGGGCUGGUCACUUCCUGGAUUACAUACUUUGUAUUGGGUGUUAUUAUACAAACAGGUUCCUUUUGGAGUUCCUAGGCAUUCAUAAUAACUAUAAAAUAAUAGGACUGUAGCAAUCUUUUGUCCUACUUCAGUGACUUGAUGUAUAUACUGGAAACAGCCUUCAGUCUGAGGAAGGUCAGUUGAAGUCCUUACUAUACAAGUCCAAAUUUUAAGGAAAAUGAGUCCCGCGAUGAGUUUCCUCAUGUUUUGGCCGUGCGUGGACCAGUCAGCUUCCGGGUGCGACUGGAGCAGGGCUUGUCGUCUUUUUCAGAGUCACUUUGCAGGGGUUGGCGAAACUGCUCCUAUCCACAUACAGCUCGCAGUCUACUGAUGUUUAAGAACCCAAUUGGAGACGUUGGAUAUUUUAUCAAGUCUUUGACUGGAAUGACAUUUUUUCAGAAAUAACCAGACUGCUUUGAGGAAUUAAAAUUGACUUUAAGGGCUGAGAAAAACCCCUUGGAAAAACUGGCAUGGUACCCUCUGCAUGCAAUUCCUUUACAAAGCUCCUGACCUGUGUUCUGAAGGCUGGGAAGUCCAAGAUUAAGGCGUCAACAGGUCUUGUGUCUGCUGAGGGCUGUCUCCCUGAUUUGCAGAUGUCUGCUUUCUUGCUGUGUCCUCACAUGGGAAAAAGAGAGAGAAUUUGCUGGUAUUCCUUUUUAUAAGGACACUAACCCCAUUCAUGAGGGUCCCACCCUCAUGACCUCGCCUAAACCUAUAACCUCCAAGGACUCCAUUUCCAAAUACCAGCAACCACAUGUGUGAGCUUAGAAGAGGAUCCUUCCCCAGGUGAGCCUUGAGAUGACCCUGGCCUGUGACUUGAUGGCAGCUUUUGAGAGACUGAGCCAGAGGCCUCCAGGUAAGCCCUUCUCAGAUUCCUGAACCACAGAAACUGUGAGAUAAUCAAUUUUAUUGAUAUCUUGUGGAUAUUGAUAUCCCCAGUUUUAUUGUGGAAUAGAUAACUGCCACACAGCUCCUGACAACUGGCAUCUUGACACAUGUUCUGUGCUCCAGGUCCCAGUAACUGUGCCCAUCCAUUGUUACCACAGGUCACAGUGGCCCUGGCCCUGGGGCAUUAUACUCUCUCUUGGUGUAUUAGUCCAUUCUUAGGCUGCUAAUAAAGAUAUAUCUGAGACUGGGUAAUGUAUAAAGAAAAAGAGGUUUAAUGGACUCACUGUUACAUAUGGCUGGGGAGACCUCACAAUCAUGGAGGAAGGUGAAGGAGGAUCAAAGGCACAUCUUACAUGGUGGCAAGACAGAGAGCAUGUGCAGGGGAAUUGCCCUUUAUAAAACCAUCAGAUCUCAUGAGACUUAUUCACUAUCAUGAGAACAGCAUGGGAAAAACCCGCCCGCAUGAUUCAAUUACUUCCCACUGAAUCCCUCCCAUGACACAUGGGGAUUAUGGGAGCUGCAAUUCAAGAUGAGAUUUUGGGGGAAGGGCAUAGCCAAACCAUAUCAUUCUUCCCUGGGCCCCUCCCAAAUGUCAUGUCCUCACAUUUCAAAAUACAAUCAUGCCUUCCCAACAGUCCUCCAAUGUCUUAACUCAUUUCAACAUUAACCCAAAAGUCCAAGUCCAAAGUCUCAUCUGAGACAAGGCAAGUCCCUUUCGCCUAUGAGUCUGUAAAAUCAAAAGCAAGUUAGUUAUUUUCUAUAUACAAUGGGGGUACAGGCAUUGAAUAAAUAUUCCCAUUCCAAAUAAGAGAAAUUGGCCAAAACAAAGGGGCUCCAGGCCCCAUGCAAGUCUAAAAUCCAGCAGGGCAGUCAAAUCUUAAAGCUCCAAAAUGAUCUCUUUUGACUCCAUGUCUCACAUCCAGGUCACAUUGAUGCAAGAGGUGGGUUCCCAUGGUCUUGGGUAGCUCCAUCCUUGUGACUUUGCAGGGCACAGCUCCCCUCCCAGCUGCUUUCGCGGGCUGGCAUUGAGUGGCUGUGGCUUUUCCAGGUUCAUGGUGCAAACUGUCAGUGGAUCGACCAUUCUGGGGUCUGGAGGACAGUGGCCCUCUUCUCACAGCUCCACUAGGCAGUGCCCAAUGGAGACUCUGUAUAGGGGCUUCCACCCCACAUUUCCCUUCCACACUGCCCUAGCAGAGGUUCUCCAUGAAGGCUCUGCCCCUGCAGCACACCUCUGUCUGGACAUCCAGGCAUUUCCAUACAUCCUCUGAAAUCUAGGCAGAGGUUUCCAAACUUCAAUUCUUGACUGCUAUGCACCUACAGGCUCAACACACCAUGUGGAAGCUGCCAAAGCUUAGGGCUUGCACCCUCUGAAUCCACGGCCUGGGCUGUACCUUGGCCCUUUUAGCCAUGGCUGGAGCAGCUGGGAUGCAGGGCACCAAGUCUAAAGGCUGCACACAGCAGGCGGGCCCUGGACCCAGCCCAGGAAACCAUUUUCCCUCCCAGGCCUCUGGGCCUGUGAUGGUAGGGGCUGUUGCAAAGGUCUCUGACUUGCCCUGGAAAUAUUUUCCCCAUUGUCUUGGUGAUUAGCAUUUGGCUCCUUGUUACUUAUGCAAAUUUCUGCAGCUGGCUUGAAUUUAUCCUCAGAAAAUGGGUUUUGCUUUUGUGCUGCAUUGUCAGGCUGCAAAUUUUUCAAACUUUUAAGCUCUGCUUCAUCUUGAACACUUUGCCACUUUGAAAUUUCUUCUACCAGAUACUUUAAAUCAUCUCUCUCAAGUUCAAAGUUCCACAGAUCUCUAGGGCAGGGGCAAAAUGUCACCAGUCUCUUUGCAUAGCAAGAGUGACCUUUACUCCAGUUCCCAACAAGUUCCUCAUCUCCAUCUGAGACCACCUCAGCCUGGACUUUAUUGUGCAUAUCACUAUCAACAUUUUGGUCAAAGCCAUUCAACAGUCUCUAGGAAGUUCCAAACUUUCCCACAUUUUCCUUUCUUCUUCUGAGCCCUCCAAACUAUUCCACCCUCUGCCUGUUACCUAGUUCCAAAUUCACUUCCACAUUUUGGGUAUCUUUACAGCGGCACCACACUCUACUGGUACCAGUUUACUAUAUUAGUUCAUUCUCACACUGCAUUAAGACAUACCUCGAGACUGGGUAAUUUAUAAAGAAAAAGAGGUUUAAUGGAAUCACAGUUCCACAUGGCGGGGGAAGCCUCAUAAUCAUGGAGGAAGGUGAAGGAGGAACAAAGGUAUGUCUUACACGGCGGCAGGCAAGAGACCAUGUGUAGGGGAACUGCCCUUUAUAAAACCAUCCAAUCUAGUGAGACAUUCACUAUCAUGAGAACGACAUGGGAAAAACCUGCCCCCAUGAUUCAGAUACCUCCCACUGGGUCCCUCCCAUGACACACAGGGAUUAUGAGAGCUACAAUGCAAGAUAAGAUUUGGGUGAGGACACAGCCGAACCAUAUCACUUGGGAAUUCCCUGCAUCCUACCCAGACCUUUGUAAGCUGGUCUCAGCCUGCCCAAUUUGAAUGUGCUGGUUCUUCCAGAUCCCUGAUGCAUACCAUUGUCUUGGCCAGGCCCAUCACAUAAUGAUUUUGAAUCUUUUGACAGUAUUCACCAUAUAAUAUGGCUACUUGAAGUAAAUGUUUUCUAACCUGUCAUUUAAAGUGAUUUAUGUAUCAUCUAUAUAUCUACAUUGUAAGUUAAAAAAAAUCAACUGGAUUAAUAGGAAAGUAAAUGUCAAAAUAAGUGCAAAGGCAGGUUAGGUCCAAGGUUUUUUAAGUCCAGCAGUUCAGUAAGGCUAAGGCCCUCUUUCUUCUCUGCCAAACUCAAUGUGUGGGCUUGAUCUUCUAGAUCACUCUCUAAAGGUGGCAUGGUCCUUGCAGUUGAUUUAGAUAUAUUUUCAUAUCCUCCAGGCUAGGAAGCAUUGAUAGGCAAAAAAUAAAAUAAUGUACCUUCUUAAGAAUGAAGAUACUGGGGGCCAGGUACAGUGGCUCACGUCUGUAAUCCCAGCACUUUGGGAGGCCAAGGCAGGCGGAUCAUGAGGUCAGGAGAUCAAGACCAUCCUGGCUAACAUGGUAAACCCCAUCUCUACUAAAAACACACACAAAAAAAUUAGCCGGGUGUGGUGGCAGUCACCUGUAGUCCCAGCUACUUGGGAGGCUGAGGCAGGAGAAUGGUGUGAACCCGGGAGGCGGAGCUUGCAGUGAGUGGAGAUUGUGCCACUGCACUCCAGCCUGGGCGAUAGAGCAAGACUCUGUCUCAAAAAAAAAAAAAAAAAAAAAAAAAAAAAGAAUGAAGAUACAUUUUCAGAAGAUUCUUAGUAGAGUAACAUUCAAAUCUGUUUAGCAAGAACCACUUAAUUGCUUGUCUACAUCAAUUAGCUGCAAAGGGAGUGGGGCCCUUAUGAACACAUAAAAGGAAUCCAAACCUGCCUUUUAGAAUCUGUGAAGCAAGCAUGAGUUAAAUAAAGGAGGGUGGAUACCUAAAAAAAAAAUCAAUAUCAUGUCAGAAAGAAAGAAGCAGCUUUGAAUGUCAGGUAGGCAAUAAAUAGUAACUGAUACACUAAAAUCUUUCCAUUUUGUCCUCCGUCCAUCCAUCCAUCCAUCCAUCCAUCCAUUCAUCCAUCUCAUAAUAAACUAAUGCCACAUAAAACUGAAAUCAUGUAUUUGCUAUUUCUUCCCCUUAAAAAUUUUUGAAUGUGACUCAUGUUCACAACACACUGAAUUUAGUGUGCUGGUUUACUUAAUUUUUUUGUUUUUUUCAACAGACUGCUUACUUGUUAAGGUAAGAAGCACCUGUGAGUCUACUACUCAUUGCUUUAACCUGGCCAUAAUUUACAUUUAGCUUUAUAGUCCCCCUACAUUUCAAAACCUUCUCUUCUUCCCACCAAAAGUAACAGUCAUCCCACCACUUUGUUAAUUAACCCAUUUUUAUUUAUGUAUUUUUGUUGCUUCUAUAAUUUUGCCAAUAUAUUUUAUUUCUAACUUUAUAGAAAACAUAUACUAAGCAAUCUUCUUUCCCCACUCAAUAGUAUAUUUCUAAAUAUACUAUUUAGAAAUAUAAUAUAUAUUAUAUUAUAUUUAGAAAUAUAAUAUAUAUUAUAUUAU